Heterocephalus glaber (naked mole-rat) is the source of this 1673-nucleotide long non-coding RNA. Lineage: Eukaryota; Metazoa; Chordata; Mammalia; Rodentia; Bathyergidae. The record is from Ensembl.
GUCAGGAGUGGCCUGGGGAUGUCCCUGUAAUGAGGAUGUGGCCUGAAGGUGUUCCUGUGACAGGGUGUGGCCUGGGAUGUUCCUGUAAUAGAGCAUGGCCUGGGACUGUUCCAUAUGAAGGGCUGUUAGACAUUCAUAGGCUACCAGCUGGUACGUGGGGUGUGGGGAGUUUGGGCCACAUGUGAACACUGUAUGGUAUCAGCACUUGGGGGACCUCUAAAGCCCUAGAAUGAAUGUGAUCCUCAUGGCAAUGAGUUGAGCUGAUGAUGAGGUCUGAGGGUUACCCUACUGUCCCAGGGCUAAGAAACUAGGGAGAUGAGGGAGCUAGUGGAGGAGAGGGUACAAGAAUGGAUAGGUGAUGUGAACCAGGAGCCUAGUGUUGCUGGCUAAUCCAGAUCUGCUGACAGGUCACAUGAAGGGGGACAGAGACUGACCAUUAGACCUGGCAGUGUGAAGUUCCUGGUGAUCUUUAUGAGAACAGGUUGAUUUCCAUCAUCGUAGAGAAAGUCUGACUGAGGCAGGUUUAAGGGAUAUAGGAGCCACAACCCAGCAACAAAAGGGCAAAUAUGCCAAUUCAGAAAGGGACAAAGGGAUUAAACAGGCAAUUUUCCAAAAAAGACCACAAAUAGCUGAGAGGCACAUGGAAAGAUGCUCAGCACCAUCAGUCAUCCGGGAAGUGCAAAUUGAAACUACAACGUGUCACUGCACACCUACUAGGAUGGUCAUAGUCCAAGAAAUGACAAAUAGCAAGUGGUGGUGGGGCUGUAGAGAAGCUGAAAUGCUUGGAUGCUGCUUCUGGGGACAAAAGGGGGCAGCAGCUGUGGAAAUCCACAUCACACUUCCUCAGAAAGCAGAACCCAGUACUUUUACAUAGCCCAGCAACCUCAUAGACAGGUUUGUACCCAAAAUGAUUGAAGGGACUGGAGCAUAUACUGUUGUCCCUUGGUUUCUUCAGGCAUUGGUUUCAGGAUCUCUUUCAGAUAUCAAAAUUUAAGGAUGCUCAUAUCCCUUACAUAAAAUGGCACAGUACACAUAUAUAACAUUCACACAUUCUCCUGUGUGAGACUAUGUAGAAUACCAUAGUACAAUGUCAAUGCUAUGUAAAUAGUUGUUAUACUGUGUUGUUUAAAGAAUAAUUACAGUAAAAAAGUCACAAUACAAAGAUUUUGUUCCUAUUUCUCCAUUUUCUCAUACUAAUUCCAUUCCCUUCUUUCCUUUCCCCCACCCCUCCCACUUCCCCUUCCCCUUUGCCCCCUUUCUUCCUAUUUCACAUUAUCUAUUAUACCUUUUAGUCCUUAUUUACACUUUCAGUUUCUCACACCAGAGAAACUAUUCGGUAUUUACACGUGUGUCCUAUUUAUUUCACUUAAAAGUAUCACCUCAAUAUGCAUCCACUUAGCUAUAAAAAUAGGAACAAAAUCUUUGUAAAUAGGGAGGAAUGGAAGGGUUGAAGGGAGGCCUGGGCAAGGGUGAAAAAUAACCAAGAGAGAUUAUGUAAAGGUGCAAAUUUCCAAUGAUGAAUGUCAUUAUAUUGUAUACCUAAAAUGUACCAAUGAUUAGAAUGAAUAAUCGAUAAUACAAAAUAGGAAGAAAAGGUCCAAAGGGGUAGGGGUAGUGGGAGGGGCAGGGGAAAGGAAAGAAGGGGAAGGAAAAAAGAUGAGAAAUGGAAAAAA